This is an RNA transcript of Rhinopithecus roxellana (golden snub-nosed monkey), 714 nucleotides long. It is a transcript of the gene named 40S ribosomal protein S5 pseudogene, with no coding region annotated. Lineage: Eukaryota; Metazoa; Chordata; Mammalia; Primates; Cercopithecidae. The record is from RefSeq and is a predicted model, not a curated record. The transcript has a single exon.
AUGACCGAGUGGAAGACAGCAGCACCAGUGGUAGCAGAGAGCCCUGGCAUCAAACUCUUUGGGAAGUGGAGCUCCGAUGAUGCGCAGAUCUAUGACACUUCCUUGCAGGAUUACACUGCAGUGAAGGAGAAGUAUGCCAAGUACCUGCCUCACAGUGCAGAGCAGUAUGCCACCAAACGCUUCCGCAAAGCUCAGUGCCCCAUCGUAGAGGGCCUCGCUUACUCCAUGAUGAUGCACGGCCGCAACAAACGCAAGCAGCUCAUGAUUGUGCGCAUCGUCAAGCACGCCUUCGAGAUCAUCCAGCUGCUCACAGGCGACAACACUCUGCAGGUCCUGGUGAACGCCAUCAUCAACAGUGGUCCCCCGGAGGACUGCACAUGCAUUGGGCGAGCCAGGACGGUGAGACGACAGGCUGUGAACGUGUCCCCAUUACUCCGUGUUAAUCAGGCCAUCUGGCCGCGGUGCACAGGCGCUCUUGAGGCUGCCUUCCGGAACAUCAAGACCAUUGCGGAGUGCCUGGCAGAUGAGCUCAUCAAUGCUGCCAAGGGCUCCUCCAACUCCUAUGCCAUCAAGAAGAAGGACGAGCUGGAGUGUGUGGCCAAGUCCAACCGCCGAUUUUCCCGGUUGCUGCCCAAUAAACCUGUCUGCAUUCUGCCUUUUGGGAUGGCCUCACAAAAAAAAAAAAAAAAAAAAAAAAAAAAAAAAAGUAGCUAG